AGAGAGUACACAUAAGGCCGGCAUCCUCGUGAACACUGGUUUUGCUACAUUCUUGGAAUUGGGUUGGGAGGAGACAGAAGCCAGAAGGAGGAGUACGAACCGGAGAGAAAGCAUUCCUCAAGGCAGGCUGCGAUCUGCAGAAAAAUCUCAGGAGUGUCUCUCAAAGGUUAUCAUAAGAAGUACUCAACUCCUUCACGGCAUUCAGAUGAUAGGAACAUAUGGAAAUAAAUAGGAACUUCAAGGAUGCAAGAAUGAAAGCUUCAGGCCAAAGAGAUGCUCCACCACAUUGAGAACAAACCCUCUGAAAAUGGGUUGUUCACACUCGCCAUCAGAAGCUGUAUAGUCUGCUUCCUCUUUGAUGUUCAAGAUGUGAACUUUCAUCUGCUGCUCCAGUCACCUGUUACCACCUCUCCAACAUCAUGGACUCCAGUCUUGUGAAACCAUUAGCCCCAAAUAAACACUUUUUUCUAUAA
This 473-nucleotide long non-coding RNA is filed under the name Cricetulus griseus (Chinese hamster). Its description in RNAcentral is "lncRNA (ENSCGRG00015034836.1)". Lineage: Eukaryota; Metazoa; Chordata; Mammalia; Rodentia; Cricetidae. The record is from RNAcentral.